ACGGAAGGCAGCAGUGGGGAAUAUUGGACAAUGGGGGAAACCCUGAUCCAGCGACGCCGCGUGAGUGAAGAAGUAUUUCGGUAUGUAAAGCUCUAUCAGCAAGGAAGAAAAUGACGGUACUUGACUAAGAAGCUCCGGCUAAAUACGUGCCAGCAGCCGCGGUAAUACGUAUGGAGCAAGCGUUAUCCGGAUUUACUGGGUGUAAAGGGAGCGUAGGCGGAAGGCUAAGUCUGAUGUGAAAACCCAGGGCUCAACCUUGGGACUGCAUUGGAAACUGGUUUUCUAGAGUGUCGGAGGGGUAAGUGGAAUUCCUAGUGUAGCGGUGAAAUGCGUAGAUAUUAGGAGGAACACCAGUGGCGAAGGCGGCUUACUGGACGACAACUGACGCUGAGGCUCGAAAGCGUGGGGAGCAAACAGGAUUAGAUACCCUGGUA
This 434-nucleotide ribosomal RNA is filed under the name uncultured bacterium. RNAcentral describes it as "partial 16S ribosomal RNA". It matches the Rfam family "Bacterial small subunit ribosomal RNA", at positions 341 to 792 of the family's 1533-position model. The record is from RNAcentral.